Molecule: ribosomal RNA, 520 nt
Filed under: uncultured Glomus
Lineage: Eukaryota; Fungi; Glomeromycota; Glomeromycetes; Glomerales; Glomeraceae
Description: SSU rRNA
Rfam family: Eukaryotic small subunit ribosomal RNA
Source: RNAcentral
AGCAGCCGCGGUAAUUCCAGCUCCAAUAGCGUAUAUUAAAGUUGUUGCAGUUAAAAACUCGUAGUUGAAUUUCGGGACCAAUCUGCCGGUCGUGCCUCCGGUACGCACUGGUUUUAUUGGUUUCUCCCUUCUGACGAACCAUGAUGUCAUUAAUUUGGUGUCAUGGGGAAUCAGGACUGUUACUUUGAAAAAUUAGAGUGUUUAUAGCAGGCUUACGCUUGAAUACAUUAGCAUGGAAUAAUGAAAUAGGACGUUUGACCCUAUUUUGUUGGUUUCUAGGAUCGACGUAAUGAUUAAUAGGGAUAGUUGGGGGCAUUAGUAUUCAAUUGUCAGAGGUGAAAUUCUUGGAUUUAUUGAAGACUAACUACUGCGAAAGCAUUUGCCAAGGAUGUUUUCAUUAAUCAAGAACGAAAGUUAGGGGAUCGAAGACGAUCAGAUACCGUCGUAGUCUUAACCAUAAACUAUGCCGACUAGGGAUCGGAUGAUGUUAAUUUUUAAUGACUCAUUCGGCGCCUUACGG